Molecule: ribosomal RNA, 382 nt
Filed under: uncultured eukaryote
Lineage: Eukaryota
Description: partial 18S ribosomal RNA
Rfam family: Eukaryotic small subunit ribosomal RNA
Source: RNAcentral
CAAUAGCGUAUAUUAAAGUUGUUGCAGUUAAAAAGCUCGUAGUUGGAUUUCUGGUGGGAGCGAUCGGUCUGGCGCUUAGCGCGAGUACUUGCAUCGUCUCCGGCCAUCCUUGGGGAAGUCUGUCUGGCAUUAAGUUGUCGGGCAGAGGAUCCUCAUCGUUUACUGUGAAAAAAUUAGAGUGUUCAAAGCAGGCUUAUGCCGUUGAAUAUAUUAGCAUGGAAUAAUAAGAUAGGACUUUGGUACUAUUUUGUUGGUUUGCGCACCAAAGUAAUGAUUAAUAGGGACAGUUGGGGGUAUUCGUAUUCCGUUGUCAGAGGUGAAAUUCUUGGAUUUACGGAAGACGAACUACUGCGAAAGCAUUUACCAAGGAUGUUUUCAUUAA